CAUUGGGUAAAUGUACCACAGCUUUUUUUACCCACUCAUGUAUUGAUGGGCACUCUGGCUGUUUCCAGAUCUUGGCUAUUGUAAACAAUGCCACUAUGAACAUAGGCGUGCAUAUUUUCCUUCUCAUUGGUGUUUUCUGAUUGUUAGGGUAUAGGUCUCAG
Long non-coding RNA from Pipistrellus kuhlii (Kuhl's pipistrelle), 161 nucleotides. RefSeq lists it as uncharacterized. The transcript has 3 exons. The record is from RefSeq and is a predicted model, not a curated record. Lineage: Eukaryota; Metazoa; Chordata; Mammalia; Chiroptera; Vespertilionidae.